Long non-coding RNA from Cebus imitator (Panamanian white-faced capuchin), 1911 nucleotides. RefSeq lists it as uncharacterized. NCBI's taxonomy places the organism in Eukaryota, Metazoa, Chordata, Mammalia, Primates, Cebidae. The transcript has 4 exons. The record is from RefSeq and is a predicted model, not a curated record.
UUUCUAAAACUGGAGGGGUAGCCUGUUUUCUCUCUUUCUGUCUAUAUAACAUAUCACAAACAGUGAGAAGACAUAGGGUGACAGAACUGUGUGUUCCCAGAAAAGCUGGUGGAAAAAAAAAGAAAGGAAGUAAGAUUACAGAGUUGGUUUGAACAGCAAAAAGGUAACCUCUGUUGGCUUCACACAAACACUAACCAAUCUGUGAAUCACCAAUUCCCUAUGAGAUAUAAGCUGAAUUUGUGGGCAAGCCUUAAGACCAGUCCUUCUAAGGGGAGGAAAAGGGGUCUUGUCUCAAGAAUCAAGUAAAGUGAAAUGCACCAUUCCAACUCUCUGUAAGGUUGAAUGAGGGUAUCAGUGUGCUAGAUGGCAGGGAAGCAGGAUUGGAACUCCAGACCCAGGCCCAGGAGCACAGCACAGUCUGGACAACUAAAGGAAAGGUAAAUGUGAUCAUGGCAUGACAUAGGGGCAACAAACUCUAACUAGAAGUCUUCCAUGGCAACUACUUCAAAAUAAAAGCAAGUCCUCACUUAACAUUGUAGAUUAGUUCUUGGAAACCAAGACUUUAAGCAAAUUGACCUAUAGUAAGUCCUCAAAUAACACUGUUUUGUUAUCUUGAUAAGAAAAUUGGUUUUGUUACACAUCCUACACGUUUCGUUUGAAGCUGCAGUUUCCAAAAAUUUAUCAAGGACAUUAAGGACGUACCAUAUCCUUAUAUUACAGCUAGUGCAUACCCCUUUGCCCUUGUGAUUCCUGCCCUCUGCAUUCCUGCUCUCAGGAAUGUGGAGUUCAAGUAACCACAGCAGAAGAUGAGAAAAUCUGGAAGGAUGGCAGACCAACUAGCCCAAAGUAGUCAGCACCUGCGAUACUGUGGAAGCAAUAUGCAAGCUCUGAAUCAUUUAACUGAAUUCUUUCAUGGAGGAGAACUUUUAUUUUGUCUAAGCCGCUGGUGUGUGGGUGUGGGCAGGAGGGUGUGUGUAUGUAUAUAUGUGUGCUUGCUAACAAGGUUUACUACCUCCAAUCUCACCUCUCCAUAACCAGAAUCUCUACAUUGCUUUCUGACUGAUAUCCUAAACCCCAAAUGUGGAGAAUCAAUCCAUUUUAAAAAAAAAAAUUAAUAAAAUACACUCUUAAAGCAUGCUUUAGACCAUUCAUAAUCUAGUCCCUGCCUGCUGAAGUCUUCUAGUUCACUGCUCCCUCUUGACACCAGCUGCUCUGACCAAGCCAUGGUCUACACAGCAACACAACUUUAUAUGUGCUUCUGCCACUGUCAAAAUAUCUUUCUUCACAGCACCCAUUCUAAAUUAUCUACAAAAACUCUGCUCAGAUGUCACCUCUUCCAAGAAGCCUUCUCUCCAUCCUGACUGAGGCACAAAUUCAUAGCCUCCCAAGGCCUCUGUUCUUACCUCUACUGUAGCAGGCAUCUGUGUUAGAAUCAUCUUAUUACUUGUUUAUUUCUCCAACCAAACUUCACAGUCAGGAUGCAUGCUUCAUCUCUCUCUCUCUAGCCCAGCAAGUGCAGGUAUUCACUGAAUGCAUGUUGAAAAAGUAAAUACUUUCAGGAAUGUGCUGAAGGAAGUUUUUGGCAUCUGGUAACUGACAUAUUAAUAAAUGAAAACCUAGGACUCUUGGUUCUUUGCCCAGGACUGUUUCCAGUACGUCAGCAUUUCCCCAACUGUGUUCCAAUGACAUCCAUUUAGAAAAUGUGAAUAAUGUGUGGGUUUCCAGCCAUGCGACACAGCUUUCAAUUCCACUAACCUGUCAAACUGACACCACUCUCAAGGCCUCUGACCCCACCCUUUUGGUCUUCUACCUGGAGGGAGGGCACUGGACCUGCACCCUCCCCCUUCCCUGGUUCCCACUAUUCAGCCAUCAUUCCCAAGUGCCAGUUCAGACCCAAGAAAACUAUCUGCU